GACAGAGGUGCCGAGCGUUAGGCGGAAGUCACUGGGCUUAAAGCGCGUGUAGGUGGCGGCCUAAGUACCUUGUGAAAUCCUGCGGCUCAACCGCAGAACUGCUUGGUAUACUGGGUCGCUUGAGUCAUCCAGGGGCAAGCUGGGAACAAGCGGUGGAGCGGUGAAAUGACGUAGAUAUCGCUUGGAACGCCAAAGGUGAAAACAGGUUGCUGGGGAUGUUCUGACGACUGAGACGCGAAAGCCAGGGGAGCGAACGGG
Molecule: ribosomal RNA, 258 nt
Filed under: uncultured bacterium
Lineage: Bacteria
Description: partial 16S ribosomal RNA
Rfam family: Bacterial small subunit ribosomal RNA
Source: RNAcentral